RNAcentral lists this long non-coding RNA (1424 nucleotides) under Canis lupus familiaris (dog). RNAcentral describes it as "lncRNA (ENSCAFG00030023432.1)". Lineage: Eukaryota; Metazoa; Chordata; Mammalia; Carnivora; Canidae. The record is from RNAcentral.
GCUAGACAGUGUCCCUAGGAUUAUCUCUGGUUACCCCCAGCACUCCGUGAUUCCCGUCUUUGGAAAUUACUACAGGCCUAAGAACCAGCCUUUGCUGCAAUAAUGGAGCCAUAGCUCUGAAAGGCAGCAGCUUAAACCACACACAUUUACGUUUCCCUCGCGGGAGCUGUGGCUGUGGCUCUGCAAAUGCUGCUGGGCUCUGUCGGACUUGGCUCCAGCACGUUGAGGAAGGUCCAGGUGGGCUCUCUCGUCUCAUUUUGGGACCAAGACUGAAGGGGGCUCCAAUGCACUGCUGAGGCUUUUGUCAUGUUGUGUGUGUGGCCACACAACCAUCUGCCUCCCUGAGGGCCGUUCACUCCACUACUGGAUCUUCCGGUUGGGCCUCUGUGCCUCCCUGCCCCUGACCCUAAGGCCCAACCAUUUCCUGCCUGGGUAUGACCGAGAUGCACGCUAAUUAUUGUCCUGUCCUCUUGGGUUCCAAGAGACAAACUCCCCAGGGGAAAAGAAGCUGAGCUUGGAAUUCUAUGGAAGCACGGAUUGUUCAGCCUCCCACCCGGUCUCUUCAGGAUGUGUCCGCAGAGAGCAUGCUACCAAACCAUGGGCGCCUUGGAAGGUCUAAUGCUCUGGCACUGAGGUCUGUUCUCCUGGCCGCAGCUCAAGUCAAUGCCAGGCGGAAUGAACAACGGAAGGGGAGAAAAUGGUCGCGUGUCAUCAAUGGAAUCAACCGUAUUUACUACAAAGCGACUCUAGACACAACACGGAAGCUCAAGAUUCUUCCAAAGUUAGACGACGGACUUGAAUUCUUAAAGUAAGCUCCUGAUCUAAUUUUAACUUUUGGUUUGUGACAUUGGCUUAGUUAAUAGGCAAAAUGGUGUCUCAUUUUUUUGGUUAUUUGUUUUGUGAAUCGCCUAUUUGUGUGUUCUGCUCAUUAUUCCUCCCAAGUCCUGGUUUCUUUCCUAUUACAAUAUAAUAGUACUUCAUAUAUUCAGACUUGUGACCUUUUCUUUGCAACAUCUGUCAUAAAUAUUUUCCUCUGGUUUGACAUUUAUCUUUUAGUUCUGUUUAUGAUUUUUCUGUCUUUGAAAUGUUUUGAGUUUCAAGGUAGAAAUAAAUAAAUAAAGUCUUUUCCUUUGGGAUAUUGUCGAUUGCCUUUUUUUUCUUAGUAAAACCUUCGCUACUCUGAAAUCAGAGAGAUUUUUGUCAAUUUUUUGUCUUAAAUUUUUUGAAUUCAACUAUUUAAUCCUUCCAUAAUGCAUUUUUAGAAUGUCGUGUGAGAGAAAGAUCUAAAUUAGUAAUUUUCCCUAAUAGUUGACUCUCCUAUUCAUUGUUAUUGAGUAAUUCACUCUUUUUUCAUUUAUGAAACGUAAAGCAUUAUACAAAUAGCAUCGUUCAUUUUUAAAAAUUAGAAAAUAAAAAAAAAACAA